GAGCCCCGGAAGGGUGAUGUGGCUGCGGCAUCGCCGGCCUCGCUAUGGUCAGGAGUGUCAUUUCUGUGUUCCCUUCCACCCCCAAAAAGGGAUAAACUAGUUUCAUGUAAAAGAAUCUGCCAUUUUCAAUUUUCAGAGUCUAUUGACUGUAAUCUUGCUGCUUAUAUGUACCUGUGCUUAUAUUCGAUCCUUGGCACCCAGCCUCCUGGACAGAAAUAAAACUGGAUUGUUGGGUAUAUUUUGGAAGUGUGCCAGAAUUGGCGAACGGAAGAGUCCUUAUGUUGCAGUAUGCUGUAUAGUAAUGGCCUUCAGCAUCCUCUUCAUACAGUAGCUGGGGAAAAUGCCAGAAUUUAGUUGCCAUCAGAUUUGAUUGUGAACAAGGACUGACUGCAGAAAAUAAUGGAAAGGAUGUUUAACUCUUUUAUCUCCGAACAUUGAAUGAGAUAAAUUUCCAGAUGCUGUUCUCUAUUUUAAUGUUAUUGGACCAAUGUUCUGUAUAAACAAUUAAGAUGUAACCAUUUAAUAGUCUGUAACAAUCAACCUCAGUACUGUCACUACAAUAUUACAUUCUGCAUAUGUUAUUCUGUUGUAUCAGAUACGAAAUUUUAGUGAGGUAUCUCUAAGGCACAUAGUAGAAAACAAAAUUGGUUAAUUACUCAAGUUCCUUUCACUGUGAUUUGGAAAUGAUUUAAUCUUUAUAGAAUGAGACCCUUUUUUGGACUAGCUUUUUUAUUAAAAUGGCUCAAUUUGUGUUGAUAAGGAUUGCAUUAAUAUUUAAUAGUGCUUGCUUUUCCUCUGGGCACACCAUUUUGAUCAUUAACCAGAGUACCUCUACUCUUAGCAAACUCUAGUUUAUGACAAGUAUUUAAAAUAUUUAAAACAAGCUUAUGCAGUUUUUAAGGACGAAGGUAAAUGAGAUGUAACUUAAAAAUACUAUUGGGAAAAUGUUGAUAUUUAACAUUAGUGGAUUUAGACUAGCCAAAUGACAUAGUAGGCUCUGAAACAUCUUGUCAAGUAUAUGUAUUUUGUGCAUGAAUUUUUGCCGGAAAGCUGUCUUUCUCUGAAAAACACAACAUUCUUAGAAUGAAAAGAACAAUUAUAAAAUAAUUAUCCUAUAUGUGUUUUUCAUUCUUUUUAGUGUCAUGGCUUCAAAAAUGAAACAUUUAUUUUAAUUGCCGUAAAGGAACUGUAUUUUUGUUUUGUUUUUUAACACAGCACUUUAAAUCCAGUUUGUGUUUUGUCAACUUGAACUGGAAUCUCUUUUGUUACUUUGGAGGUGAUAAAUAGUUUUCAAAUCUACUGAUUUGUAUACUGUGGCACAAGUAUCUUUGAACUUUGAUAGUGAAAGGAGACCUUCAACAAUUUUUAGUCUAGGCAAGAGGAAUAUUAGGAAUGUGACUUCUAAAUUUUACAAUAGAGCAGUUAUUUUAAGGUCAUGGUUAACAUUUCUUAAGGUUCAACUAAAAUUCAGUUAAAAUUUCAGAGCUACGAGGAACUUAAAUCUUAGCUAAAAAUUACCUGUUGUAGAUAGUAUUAAUUAGAUUGUUUGCAGCUAUUAAUUCAUCAUAAAGAUAAAAUGAACAAACUUCCUUUUUUUAAACAAAAAAAGAAAAUUAUUUCUAGAUUAAUAGGCUAGUAGUUAUUUCUGCAGAAACAAAGUAUGGAACUGAAAGCCACCUAUUUUUAUUUUAGACUAAUUUAAACCACUUGGAAUGGAUUCUAGGAAACAUCUUAAGCUUGUGUGUUGCCUGUGGUGGUUUUUUGUUUGGGGGUGUUUUUUGGUUUUGGUUUGAUUUUCUGUAUUUUGUUAUCUGGGGAUUUUUUGUUUGUUUGUUUUGGUUUGGUUUUGGUUUUAUAUUUUUGGCAUGUCUAUGGCAGUUAAAAGUGGUAUAUUUUGCUUUAGAUAGGGAAUCAGGUUAUAAUCAUUGUUCUUCCUCUAAACUGCCUCUUGGGCUUUACAUCAGGUCAAGGAUUUUUAGGGUUUCUCAAAAAUAGGAUUCUUGUCAGUGUAUCCAUGCUGAGUAAGUCACCUUUCUGGCUCUAAUUUCUGGGUGGCCAUCUGUUGUCCAGCUCUGCUGCCAACUGGACUUUCCAAAAGCCAUGUCAACUAAUUUUUUAUAUGCUAAGACAAAUCGAAUAUGAAAAGAGGAAGAAUAUUCUAGAUAUUCUAAGACAUUUCUUAAUUUGGCAUCUCAGAGGAGGUAGGUGGAAAGUAAAGGAAGAGAUAAUUUUGGGGGAAAAUUUGUGGAAACAUACAAAACGUUUUGCUUUGUAUAGAUGCUAAACAGAGUGGGAGGCAGCAUAUUUGUAACAACAACCAUUCUGACCUUUUGAAACACAAGCUUUUGGAGAAGUCAGGGAGAGACACAGUAUGAAUAAAAGCAAUUAACAUUUUCUUUAAUGUAUAUUUUUCAAAGAGGACCACUGAAUCCUGUUCUCUAACCCAAGGGGCAGUGUAGGUGGUUUUAAGCCCACAGAAUAUUGAGAUAUUUCUCUUGUGGUUUUGGUGGGGUGGUGGGAUGCAGAAGGUUAUUAAAGAUCAAUUUAAGCAUCAGAUAGACUAUCUCUUUUAUUUUUUUAACUUUUAGGUUCAGGGGUACAUGUGCAGGUUGUUAUAUAGGUAAACUCAUGUCAAGUGGUUUUGUUGUACAGAUUAUUUUGUCACCCAGGUGCUAAGCCUAGUACCCAGUAGUUAUUUUCCCUGCUCUUCUCCCUCCUCCCACCCUCCACCCUCAAGUAGGCCCCAGUGUCUGUUGUUCCUUUCUUUGUGUCCUUGAGUUCUCAUCAUUUAGCUCCUACUUCUAAGUGAGAACAUGUAUUUGGUUUUCUGUUCUGUGUUAGUUUGCUAAGGAUAAUGGCCUCCAGCUCAGAUGGAAUAUCUCUAUCAUAUAGACCUGUUGUUACAGGGCAGGAUCGGAUGAUGGACACUGAAGUCCUCAGCUUGCUAAGUUCAGUUGCUCUCCCUAGCCUCCUUUUGGCUUCAGAGUCUUUUGAUUCCAUCUAUCCUGGUAUUUUUUGUGUGCUGAUGUUUAGUUCUGGAUUGGCUUCAGCUGUGCUAAUAGGAAGGGCGUUGUCUUUUCAAGCAAUCUUAAAAGGUGGUCAAUCAAAAGGCCAGAGUCUGAAUCCCUUCUGUGGCUUAAAUAAUUUGAGGAUCAAGUCCAGUGUCUUGUUAAUCCCUGUUCUACUGUGCCAGACACUAUCUUGAAUGCUUUUAUAUGUUCAGGUUCAAAAUCGCUCUUUCAUACCAGGGGAUGAUAGUAACGUGUAACUUGCAAUAGAUUCCUUCAUCUUAGUAAUAAGAUGAUCAGUCUAGUUAGGACAAAAUAGAGAUUGAAUAAAUUAACUUUUCCAAGUU
RNAcentral lists this small RNA (3355 nucleotides) under Pan troglodytes (chimpanzee). Its description in RNAcentral is "processed transcript". The record is from RNAcentral. Lineage: Eukaryota; Metazoa; Chordata; Mammalia; Primates; Hominidae.